CUACGGGACGCUGCAGUAAGGAAUAUUGCGCAAUGGAGGCAACUCUGACGCAGCCAUGCCGCGUGCAGGACUGAAGGCCUUAUGGGUCGUAAACUGCUUUUAUUUAGGAAUAAACUUUCGUACGUGUACGAGACUGAAGGUACUAAAUGAAUAAGCACCGGCUAACGCCGUGCCAGCAGCCGCGGUAAUACGGAGGGUGCAAGCGUUAUCCGGAUUUAUUGGGUUUAAAGGGUGCGCAGGCGGACUAUUAAGUCAGAGGUGAAAUCCCGGAGCUCAACUUCGGAACUGCCUUUGAUACUGGUAGUCUUGAAUACGGUUGAAGUAGGCGGAAUGUAGCAUGUAGCGGUGAAAUGCAUAGAGAUGCUACAGAACACCGAUCGCGAAGGCAGCUUACUAAGCCGAUAUUGACGCUCAGGCACGAAGGCGUGGGGAGCGAACAGGAUUAGAUACCCCAGUAGUC
Molecule: ribosomal RNA, 460 nt
Filed under: uncultured bacterium
Lineage: Bacteria
Description: partial 16S ribosomal RNA
Rfam family: Bacterial small subunit ribosomal RNA
Source: RNAcentral